UACGAAGGGGGCUAGCGUUGCUCGGAAUCACUGGGCGUAAAGCGCACGUAGGCGGAUCUUUAAGUCAGGGGUGAAAUCCUGGAGCUCAACUCCAGAACUGCCUUUGAUACUGAGGAUCUUGAGUCCGGGAGAGGUGAGUGGAAUUCCGAGUGUAGAGGUGAAAUUCGUAGAUAUUCGCAAGAACACCAGUGGCGAAGGCGGCUCACUGGCCCGAUACUGACGCUGAGGCACGAAAGCGUGGGGAGCAAACAGG
Molecule: ribosomal RNA, 253 nt
Filed under: uncultured bacterium
Lineage: Bacteria
Description: partial 16S ribosomal RNA
Rfam family: Bacterial small subunit ribosomal RNA
Source: RNAcentral